CCUACGGGAGGCAGCAGUGGGGAAUAUUGGACAAUGGGGGCAACCCUGAUCCAGCCAUGCCGCGUGUGUGAAGAAGGCCCUCGGGUUGUAAAGCACUUUCAGUGAGGAAGAACGCCUGGUGGUUAAUACCCAUCAGGAAAGACAUCACUCACAGAAGAAGCACCGGCUAACUCCGUGCCAGCAGCCGCGGUAAUACGGAGGGUGCGAGCGUUAAUCGGAAUUACUGGGCGUAAAGCGCGCGUAGGUGGCUUGAUAAGCCGGUUGUGAAAGCCCCGGGCUCAACCUGGGAACGGCAUCCGGAACUGUCGAGCUAGAGUGCAGGAGAGGAAGGUAGAAUUCCCGGUGUAGCGGUGAAAUGCGUAGAGAUCGGGAGGAAUACCAGUGGCGAAGGCGGCCUUCUGGACUGACACUGACACUGAGGUGCGAAAGCGUGGGUAGCAAACAGGAUUAGAUACCCCGGUAGUC
Molecule: ribosomal RNA, 465 nt
Filed under: Vreelandella stevensii
Lineage: Bacteria; Pseudomonadati; Pseudomonadota; Gammaproteobacteria; Oceanospirillales; Halomonadaceae
Description: partial 16S ribosomal RNA
Rfam family: Bacterial small subunit ribosomal RNA
Source: RNAcentral